Molecule: ribosomal RNA, 1060 nt
Filed under: Lactiplantibacillus plantarum
Lineage: Bacteria; Bacillati; Bacillota; Bacilli; Lactobacillales; Lactobacillaceae
Description: bacterial SSU rRNA
Rfam family: Bacterial small subunit ribosomal RNA
Source: RNAcentral
UAAAACUUCCGUUGGUGAGGAAGAUCUAUUCUGAGAGUUACUGUUCCAGGUAAUUGACGUAUUUAAUCAGAAAAGUCCACGCUUACUACGUGUCAGKCAGCGCGGUAAUACGUAGGUGGUCAAGCGUGUCCGGGAUUUAUUGGGCGUAAAGUCGAGYGUCAGGUCGGUUUUUUUAAGUCUGAUGUGAAAGUCUUUCGGCUCAAUCYGAAGAAGUGCAUCGGAAACUGGGAAACUUGAGUGCAGAAGAGGAUCAGUGGAACUYCAUGUGUAGCGGUGAAAUGCGUAGAUAUAUGGAAGAACAYYCAGUGGCGAAGGCGGCUGUCUGGUCUGUAACUGACGCUGAGGCUCGAAAGUAUGGGUAGUAAWCAGGAUUAGAUAYUCUGGUAGUCUAUAUCGUAAACGAUGAAUGCUAAGUGUUGGAGGGUUUCCGYCCUUCAGUGCUGCAGCUAACGUAUUAAGUAUUCCGUCUGGGGAGUACGGCYGCAAGGCUGAAACUCAAAGGAAUUGACGGGGGYCCGCAUAAGCGGUGGAGUAUGUGGUUUAAUUYGAAGCUACGCGAAGAAUCUUAYCAGGUCUUGACAUACUAUGCAAAUCUAAGAGAUUAGACGUUYCCUUCGGGGACAUGGAUACAGGUGGUGCAUGGUUGUCGUCAGCUCGUGUCGUGAGAUGUUGGGUUAAGUCCCGCAACGAGCGCAACCCUUAUUAUCAGUUGCCAGCAUUAAGUUGGGCACUCUGGUGAGACUGCCGGUGACAAACCGGAGGAAGGUGGGGAUGACGUCAAAUCAUCAUGCCCCUUAUGACCUGGGCUACACACGUGCUACAAUGGAUGGUACAACGAGUUGCGAACUCGCGAGAGUAAGCUAAUCUYUUAAAGCCAUUCUCAGUUCGGAUUGUAGGCUGCAACUYGCCUACAUGAAGUCGGAAUCGCUAGUAAUCGCGGAUCAGCAUGCCGCGGUGAAUACGUUCCCGGGCCUUGUACACACCGCCCGUCACACCAUGAGAGUUUGUAACACCCAAAGUCGGUGGGGUAACYUUUAGGAACUCWGCYUKCGUAAGGGGU